GAAAUGCGAUAAGUAAUGUGAAUUGCAGAAUUCAGUGAAUCAUCGAAUCUUUGAACGCACAUUGCGCCCGCCAGCACUCUGGCGGGCAUGCCUGUUCGAGCGUCAUUUCAACCCUCAGAACCCCUUGCGGGAUCUGGCGUUGGGGAUUGGCAUCCAGCCAGCCCCGAAAUCUAGUGGCGGUCCCUCCGCGACCUCCCCUGUGCAGUAGCGAUACCUCGCAGCGGGACAGCGGUCUGACCACGCCGUAAAACCCCCAACUUCUCAAGGUUGACCUCGAAUCAGGUAGGAAUACCCGCUUAACUUAAGC
This 307-nucleotide unclassified non-coding RNA is filed under the name plant metagenome. RNAcentral describes it as "partial contains 5.8S ribosomal RNA, internal transcribed spacer 2, and large subunit ribosomal RNA". The stretch from base 1 to 105 matches the Rfam family "5.8S ribosomal RNA", at positions 50 to 154 of the family's 154-position model. The record is from RNAcentral.